Molecule: ribosomal RNA, 497 nt
Filed under: uncultured bacterium
Lineage: Bacteria
Description: partial 16S ribosomal RNA
Rfam family: Bacterial small subunit ribosomal RNA
Source: RNAcentral
GAUGAGCGCUGGCGGCGUGCCUAAUACAUGCAAGUCGAGCGAACGGACGAGAAGCUUGCUUCUCUGAUGUUAGCGGCGGACGGGUGAGUAACACGUGGAUAACCUACCUAUAAGACUGGGAUAACUUCGGGAAACCGGAGCUAAUACCGGAUGAUAUUUUGAACCGCAUGGUUCAAAAGUGAAAGACGGUCUUGCUGUCACUUAUAGAUGGAUCCGCGCUGCAUUAGCUAGUUGGUAAGGUAACGGCUUACCAAGGCAACGAUGCAUAGCCGACCUGAGAGGGUGAUCGGCCACACUGGAACUGAGACACGGUCCAGACUCCUACGGGAGGCAGCAGUAGGGAAUCUUCCGCAAUGGGCGAAAGCCUGACGGAGCAACGCCGCGUAAGUGAUGAAGGUCUUCGGAUCGUAAAACUCUGUUAUUAGGGAAGAACAUAUGUGUAAGUAACUGUGCACAUCUUGACGGUACCUAAUCAGAAAGCCACGGCUAACUACGUG